This 429-nucleotide ribosomal RNA is filed under the name uncultured Acidobacterium sp. RNAcentral's name for it is "bacterial SSU rRNA". It matches the Rfam family "Bacterial small subunit ribosomal RNA", at positions 958 to 1385 of the family's 1533-position model. Lineage: Bacteria; Pseudomonadati; Acidobacteriota; Terriglobia; Terriglobales; Acidobacteriaceae. The record is from RNAcentral.
AACGCGAAGAACCUUACCUGGGCUCGAAGCGCAGUGGACCGGGGUAGAAAUAUCCCUUCCCCUUAAAAGGCUGCUGCGGAGGUGCUGCAUGGCUGUCGUCAGCUCGUGUCGUGAGAUGUUGGGUUAAGUCCCGCAACGAGCGCAACCCUUAUCCCUAGUUGCCAUCGGGUCAAGCCGGGCACUCUAGUGAAACUGCCUGGGAUAACCAGGAGGAAGGUGGGGAUGACGUCAAGUCCUCAUGGCCUUUAUGUCCAGGGCUACACACGUGCUACAAUGGUCGGUACAAACCGUCGCAAACCCGUGAGGGGGAGCUAAUCGGAAAAAGCCGACCUCAGUUCGGAUUGGAGUCUGCAACUCGACUCCAUGAAGCUGGAAUCGCUAGUAAUCGCGGAUCAGAACGCCGCGGUGAAUACGUUCCCGGGCCUUGUA